GAUGAACGCUGGCGGCGUGCCUAAUACAUGCAAGUCGAGCGAACAGACGAGGAGCUUGCUCCUCUGACGUUAGCGGCGGACGGGUGAGUAACACGUGGAUAACCUACCUAUAAGACUGGGAUAACUUCGGGAAACCGGAGCUAAUACCGGAUAACAUGUUGAACCGCAUGGUUCAACAGUGAAAGUCGGUUUUGCUGUCUCUUAUAGAUGGAUCCGCGUCGCAUUAGCUAGUUGGUAAGGUAACGGCUUACCAAGGCAACCAUGCGUAGCCGACCUGAGAGAGUGAUAGGCGACACUGGAACUGAGACACGGUCCAGACUACUACGGGAGGCAGCAGUAGGGAAUGUUCCGCAAUGGGCGAAAGCCUGACGGAGCAACGCCGCGUGAGUGAAGAAGAUCUUCGGAGCGUAAAAAUCUGUUAUUAGGGAAGAACAAAUGUGUAAGUAACUAUGCACGUCUUGACGGUACCUAAUCAGAAAGCCACGGCUAACUACGUG
Molecule: ribosomal RNA, 497 nt
Filed under: uncultured bacterium
Lineage: Bacteria
Description: partial 16S ribosomal RNA
Rfam family: Bacterial small subunit ribosomal RNA
Source: RNAcentral